RNAcentral lists this ribosomal RNA (484 nucleotides) under uncultured bacterium. RNAcentral's name for it is "partial 16S ribosomal RNA". It matches the Rfam family "Bacterial small subunit ribosomal RNA", at positions 28 to 507 of the family's 1533-position model. The record is from RNAcentral.
AUUGAACGCUGGCGGCAUGCUUUACACAUGCAAGUCGAACGGCAGCGCGGGCUUCGGCCUGGCGGCGAGUGGCGAACGGGUGAGUAAUGCAUCGGAACGUGCCCAGUAGUGGGGGAUAGCCCGGCGUAAGCCGGAUUAAUACCGCAUACGACCUGAGGGUGAAAGCGGGGGACCGAAAGGCCUCGCGCUAUUGGAGCGGCCGAUGUCGGAUUAGCUAGUUGGUGGGGUAAAGGCUUACCAAGGCGACGAUCCGUAGCUGGUCUGAGAGGACGACCAGCCACACUGGGACUGAGACACGGCCCAGACUCCUACGGGAGGCAGCAGUGGGGAAUUUUGGACAAUGGGGGCAACCCUGAUCCAGCCAUGCCGCGUGCGGGAAGAAGGCCUUCGGGUUGUAAACCGCUUUUGUUCGGGAAGAAAUCCUCUGGGCUAAUACCCCGGGGGGAUGACGGUACCGGAAGAAUAAGCACCGGCUAACUACGUG